This 224-nucleotide small RNA is filed under the name Arabidopsis thaliana (thale cress). RNAcentral describes it as "ATSL301920". The record is from RNAcentral. Lineage: Eukaryota; Viridiplantae; Streptophyta; Magnoliopsida; Brassicales; Brassicaceae.
AAACUUAUACAAAAACCCAAAUCUAGAUUUCAAUACGAAUAAUAUAUAGCUGCUCAGUUGUGAUUCUCCCAAAUCAACAUCAGCAAAAAUCGUAUAAAUACGAAAUCACCGAAGAUUCAUAGGGAGAAUUAUAUAAAUAACGAAAGCAACACGAUUGAUUUUGCUUCAAGGGAACGAAUCAUAUGGGAACGAACAAAUCCACAUAGACUAUCUGAUGAAGCCAA